RNAcentral lists this ribosomal RNA (1235 nucleotides) under metagenome. RNAcentral's name for it is "bacterial LSU rRNA". It matches the Rfam family "Bacterial large subunit ribosomal RNA", at positions 1564 to 2808 of the family's 2925-position model. The record is from RNAcentral.
UGAAUACGAGAUGCUACGGCGUCGAAGCAGUCUAUGUCAUACUUCCAAGAAAAGCUUGCACUGUCAUAAACAAAUAAUGCCUGUACCAUAACCGACACAGGUGGGUAGGUAGAGUAUACUAAGGGGCGCGAGAUAACUCUCUCUAAGGAACUCGGCAAAAUGACUCCGUAACUUCGGGAGAAGGAGUGCCUUAUUUUAUAAGGUUGCAAUAACAAGAUCCAAGCAACUGUUUACCAAAAACACAGGUCUCCGCUAAGUCGUAAGACGAUGUAUGGGGGCUGACGCCUGCCCAGUGCCAGAAGGUUAAAGAAGUUGGUUAGCAUCCGCGAAGCUGAUAACUGAAGCCCUGGUGAACGGCGGCCGUAACAAUAACGGUCCUAAGGUAGCGAAAUUCCUUGUCGGGUAAGUUCCGACCCGCACGAAAGGCGUAAUGAUUUGGAUACUGUCUCAGAGAGGGGCUCGGUGAAAUAGACUUGUCUGUGAAGAUGCGGACUACCUGCACCAGGACAGAAAGACCCUAUGAAGCUUUACUGUAACUUGAAAUUGAAAUUGGACUUUACUUGCGCAGUAUAGGUGGGAGGCGUUGAGAAUAUUCUUGCGGGAAUGUUGGAGCCAUCAGUGAGAUACCACUCUUGUAAUGUUAGAUUUCUAACUUUGUAUCAUUAUCUGGUCAAAGGACAGUUUCAGGCGGGCAGUUUGACUGGGGCGGUCGCCUCCCAAACGGUAACGGAGGCGCACAAAGGUUUCCUCUGAACGGGUAGAAAUCGUAUCUAGAGUGUAAAGGCAUAAGGAAGCUUGACUGUGAGACCUACAAGUCGAGCAGGGACGAAAGUCGGUCUUAGUGAUCUGACGGUGCUGAGUGGAAAGGCCGUCACUCAACGGAUAAAAGUUACUCUAGGAUAACAGGCUGAUCUCCCCCAAGAGUUCACAUCGACGGGGAGGUUUGGCACCUCGAUGUCGGCUCAUCGCAUCCUGGGGCGGUAGUACGUCCCAAGGGUUGGGCUGUUCGCCCAUGAAAGCGGUACGCGAGCUGGGUUCAGAACGUCGUGAGACAGUUCGGUCCAUAUCCGGUGUAGGCGUUAGAAUAUUGAGAGGAGCCUUCUUUAGUACGAGAGGACCGAGAAGGACAUACCUCUGGUGUACCAGUUAUCGUGCCAACGGUAAACGCUGGGUAGCUAUGUAUGGAGUGGAUAACCGCUGAAAGCAUCUAAGUGGGAAGCCCACCUCAAGAUAAG